GCCCGGGUGGCUUAGCUGGACAUAGCGCCGCACUCAUAGGGUUCCGAGCUUCGGUGCGGAGUUCGCAUGUCCGAAACGGGGACUGCCGAGCCUCGAACCUGGGACAUGCGGAGAUCGAGGGUUCGAAGCCCUCCCCGGGCA
This 141-nucleotide transfer RNA is filed under the name Salinarchaeum sp. Harcht-Bsk1. It matches the Rfam family "tRNA". Rfam says of the family: Transfer RNA (tRNA) molecules are approximately 80 nucleotides in length. Their secondary structure includes four short double-helical elements and three loops (D, anti-codon, and T loops). Lineage: Archaea; Methanobacteriati; Methanobacteriota; Halobacteria; Halobacteriales; Natronoarchaeaceae. The record is from Rfam by way of RNAcentral.